RNAcentral lists this unclassified non-coding RNA (205 nucleotides) under uncultured fungus. Its description in RNAcentral is "sequence contains ITS1". Lineage: Eukaryota; Fungi. The record is from RNAcentral.
UUAAAUAAUUUAUAUUUUCACUCAGACUGCAAUCUUCAGACAGAGUUCUAGGUGUCUUCGGCGGGCGCGGGCCCGGAGGCAGAAGCCCCCCGGCGGCCGUGAGGCGGGCCCGCCGAAGCAACAAGGUACGAUAAACACGGGUGGGAGGUUGGACCCAGAGGGCCCUCACUCGGUAAUGAUCCUUCCGCAGGUUCACCUACGGAAA